This 253-nucleotide ribosomal RNA is filed under the name uncultured bacterium. RNAcentral's name for it is "partial 16S ribosomal RNA". It matches the Rfam family "Bacterial small subunit ribosomal RNA", at positions 524 to 776 of the family's 1533-position model. The record is from RNAcentral.
UACAGAGGUCUCAAGCGUUGUUCGGAUUCAUUGGGCGUAAAGGGUGCGCAGGCUGUGGUGUAAGUCGAGUGUGAAAUCUCGGGGCUCAACCUCGAAAUUGCACUCGAUACUGCAUCACUAGAGGACUGUAGAGGAGAGUGGAAUUCACGGUGUAGCAGUGAAAUGCGUAGAUAUCGUGAGGAAGACCAGUUGCGAAAGCGACUCUCUGGGCAGUUCCUGACGCUCAUGCACGAAGGCCAGGGGAGCAAACGGG